Molecule: ribosomal RNA, 522 nt
Filed under: uncultured bacterium
Lineage: Bacteria
Description: partial 16S ribosomal RNA
Rfam family: Bacterial small subunit ribosomal RNA
Source: RNAcentral
UGGGGAAUAUUGCACAAUGGGCGAAAGCCUGAUGCAGCAACGCCGCGUGAGUGAUGAAGGCCUUCGGGUUGUAAAGCUCUGUCUUUUGGGACGAUAAUGACGGUACCAAAGGAGGAAGCCACGGCUAACUACGUGCCAGCAGCCGCGGUAAUACGUAGGUGGCAAGCGUUGUCCGGAUUUACUGGGCGUAAAGGAUGCGUAGGCGGAUUUUUAAGUGAGAUGUGAAAACCCUAAGCUUAACUUGGGGACUGCAUUUCAUACUGGAAAUCUAGAGUGCGGGAGAGGAGAAUGGAAUUCCUAGUGUAGCGGUGAAAUGCGUAGGGAUUAGGAAGAACACCAGUGGCGAAGGCGAUUCUCUGGACCGUAACUGACGCUGAGGCAUGAAAGCGUGGGUAGCAAACAGGAUUAGAUACCCUGGUAGUCCACGCCGUAAACGAUGAGUACUAGGUGUAGGAGGUAUCGACCCCUUCUGUGCCGCAGUUAACACAAUAAGUACUCCGCCUGGGAAGUACGAUCGCAAGA